CCUACGGGCGGCUGCAGUGAGGAAUAUUGGUCAAUGGACGAGAGUCUGAACCAGCCAAGUAGCGUGAAGGAUGACUGCCCUAUGGGUUGUAAACUUCUUUUAUAUAGGAAUAAAAUGUUCCACGUGUGGGAUUUUGUAUGUACCAUAUGAAUAAGGAUCGGCUAACUCCGUGCCAGCAGCCGCGGUAAUACGGAGGAUCCGAUCGUUAUCCGGAUUUAUUGGGUUUAAAGGGAGCGUAGGUGGAUUGUUAAGUCAGUUGUGAAAGUUUGCGGCUCAACCGUAAAAUUGCAGUUGAAACUGGCAGUCUUGAGUACAGUAGAGGUGGGCGGAAUUCGUGGUGUAGCGGUGAAAUGCUUAGAUAUCACGAAGAACUCCGAUUGCGAAGGCAGCUUACUGGACUGCAACUGACACUGAGGCUCGAAAGUGUGGGUAUCAAACAGGAUUAGAUACCCCUGUAGUC
Molecule: ribosomal RNA, 460 nt
Filed under: uncultured bacterium
Lineage: Bacteria
Description: partial 16S ribosomal RNA
Rfam family: Bacterial small subunit ribosomal RNA
Source: RNAcentral